AUUGAACGCUGGCGGAAUGCUUUACACAUGCAAGUCGAACGGCAGCACGGACUUCGGUCUGGUGGCGAGUGGCGAACGGGUGAGUAAUAUAUCGGAACGUGCCCAGUCGUGGGGGAUAACGUAGCGAAAGCUACGCUAAUACCGCAUACGAUCUACGGAUGAAAGCGGGGGAUCGCAAGACCUCGCGCGAUUGGAGCGGCCGAUAUCAGAUUAGGUAGUUGGUGAGGUAAAGGCUCACCAAGCCGACGAUCUGUAGCUGGUCUGAGAGGACGACCGGCCACACGGGGACUGAGACACGGCCCAGACUCCUACGGGAGGCAGCAGUGGGGAAUUUUGGACAAUGGACGCAAGUCUGAUCCAGCCAUUCCGCGUGCAGGACGAAGGCCUUCGGGUUGUAAACUGCUUUUGUACAGAACGAAAAGGUCUCUAUUAAUACUAGGGGCUCAUGACGGUACUGUAAGAAUAAGCACCGGCUAACUACGUGCCAGCAGCCGCCGUAA
Molecule: ribosomal RNA, 500 nt
Filed under: uncultured bacterium
Lineage: Bacteria
Description: partial 16S ribosomal RNA
Rfam family: Bacterial small subunit ribosomal RNA
Source: RNAcentral